CGGCCAUUUUGAAUAUUCCAAAGUCUAACCCCUACUGCAAUUUGUUCCCUCCAUAAUUAUAUACAAUCAUAUACCAUUUAAUGUCUCUAGAAUAAAUUUAACAUUGAUGUUCUGGAAUGUUCCAUAAAAAUUCACCCCCCUAAAAUUAUGCCAAGGAGACCCCCUACUGAAAUAAAAUUAGUUCCAAGUUGAAGCUGACAUGUGUCUCUAAAUAUUCAUAAAAGAAAAUAUAAUACCAUCUACUCUAUUUACAGCAGAAAAUUGAUGAAAUGCAAAAAAAAAUUGACCCCACCCAUCUUUGAGCCCCCCUAAUUAUGCCAAGAUGACACCCUGGUAUCAUGGACAUUGGGUUCUGCAACCCCCAUGAUGCAGACCUAUACCCAGAAUAAAUAUAAAUUUUCCAUCCUGUACUGCUUCCCAAAAAAUGGUAGGACAGUUUAAGGGGUCAGAAAGAGAAGAAUAAGAAUAAUAACUAGAUUUGUAAUUGCUAGCAAUAACGGAUGGCACCCUCGUACCCCCAUUGCCAGGCGAGCGACAGCCAUUUUGGAAAUUCCAAAGUCAAAGAGUGCGUCUACACCUGCAGGUUAUCAUUUUUGCAAAAUUUCAUUAAGUUUGGAGCAUUUUGAAAUUUUGGACAAUUUUGCUGUUUCCAUGGUUACGGCGGCCAUUUUGGAAAUUCCAACUUCAAAAUGCAACUCCGCACAUGACAGUCACUAUUCCUGUAAAGUUUCAUCCAGUUUGCAGCACAUAAUUUUUUUGGAAAUUUUGAACAUUUGUGCUGCAACCAUGGUUACAGUAGAUAAUUCCAAAAUUCUAAAAGCAGACAUCUCAUUGCCACAUGUCAUGUUAUAUAUCAAUACAGUUUCAUUAACUUUGGUGCACUACUCUCUGAGAAAAUGCAGAUUUUAUGCAUUUUUCCAUAGGGUCAAUGCAAAACUUGGCCCUAGUUUCCAUGACAACGGCGGCCAUUUUGAACUAUCAAAAUAUUGUCUUGACAUCUUGGCAUACUGGAGAACAUUUUCAUAAAGUUUCAUGUCUCUAGAAUAAAUUUAACAUUGAUGUUCUGGAAUGUUCUGUGAAAAUUCAAAGUUUUGACCUUUUUGCAUUGUUUCCAUGGUAACAACAGAUAUUUUGGAAAUUCCAACGCCAAAUUCCACAUCUUCCAAUGUUGCUCAUCGUUACUGUGAAGUUUCAUGAAGUUUGGAGCAUUUUGAUAUUUUUGAAAUUUUUGGUGUAGUUUCCAUGGCAACAUAGUAGUUCCAAUGAGUGCCAAAAUCAUCCAACACCUGUAUAUGGCCGGCACCUACAUUGUAUCAAAAUAUAAUGUUUCUGAGUUAAAGCAUAUCCAAACAGUUCACCAAAACAAAAAACUGGAUUUUUUCACAUUUGUUCCGUUUCCAUGGAAACGGCAGCCAUCUUGAAAGUGCCAACCCCUGCAAAUCUUCAUAUGGUGGUUAACAUUAUGGUAUAGUUCCAUCUUCUUGGGUCCAUUCACAUUAGAGUUCCAGACUGGACAAAAAUGUGUGGAAGAAAAAUAAUAAUAAAAAUAACUAGAUUUGCCAUUGCAAGCAAUAGCGGAUGGCACCCUUCCCCCAUUGCCAGGUGAGCGGCAGCCAUUUUGAAAAUUCCAAAGUCAAAGAGCUCAUCUACAGAUGUCUAUUAACAUUCUUGUAAAGUUUCAUCAAUUUUGGAGCAUUUUGAAAUUUUUGAAAUUUUUGCUAUUUCCAUGGUAACGGGUACCAUUUCCAAAAUUCCAAAGACAGUGCCACUUUGGGACAUGCCAUGUUACAUAUCCAUGAAGUUGUAGAAGGUUUGAUCUUAUAUUUUUGCAGAAAAUGCAGCUUCAAUGUGUUUUCCCAUAGGGCCAAUGUUAAACUUUCGCCCUGUUUCCAUGACAAUGGCGGCCAUUUUGGAAUUUCCUAAUAUUGUCACAACAUCUAGACAUACCAAGGAACAUUACCAUAAAGUUUCAUCCAGCUAGGUCUUAUAAUGAAAGAUUUAGAAUUUCCAUUUUUUUUCACAUUUUAUCAGUUUCCAUGGCAACAGCAGCCAUCUUGAUGAUGCCAUACCCUGUUUGCAAAACUUCAUAUGCUGGGUAACAUUAUGGUAUAGUUCCAUGACCAUUCCAUCAUACAGUGCCAAGAUAUGGCCUGGACAAAAAGCGUGGAAGAAAAAUAAAAAUAAUAAUAAGAAAAAAAGAAACGUAGAAUAACAAUACGUCACCCCAACUCCGUUGAGGGUGCCAUAAAAAAAAAAAAGAAACGUAGAAUAACAAUAUGUCACCCCAACUCCGUUGAGGGUGCCAUAAUAAUAAGAAACGAUACAAAAACAAUAAGUCGCCAAAAACUCCGUUUUGGUGACUUAAUAAUAAGAAAAAACUAGAUUUGUAAUUGCUAGCAAUAACGGAUGGCACCCUCGUCCC
This 2422-nucleotide long non-coding RNA is filed under the name Mytilus galloprovincialis (Mediterranean mussel). The record is from RNAcentral. Lineage: Eukaryota; Metazoa; Mollusca; Bivalvia; Mytilida; Mytilidae.